GCAAGUCGAACGGUAACAUUACAGCUUGCUGUAGAUGACGAGUGGCGCACGGGUGCGUAACGCGUAUGCAACCUACCUUACACAGGGGGAUAGCCCGAAGAAAUUCGGAUUAAUACCCCAUGGUACUAUAAGACUUCAUGGUUUAAUAGUUAAAGCAUUGUGGUGUAAGAUGGGCAUGCGUCUAAUUAGCUAGUUGGUAAGGUAACGGCUUACCAAGGCUACGAUUAGUAGGGGGUCUGAGAGGAUUAUC
This 250-nucleotide ribosomal RNA is filed under the name uncultured bacterium. RNAcentral's name for it is "partial 16S ribosomal RNA". It matches the Rfam family "Bacterial small subunit ribosomal RNA", at positions 57 to 305 of the family's 1533-position model. The record is from RNAcentral.